AUGAGUGUCUUUAAAUUACCUGCAUCAGUAUGUGAUGAGGUCACUCGUAUGAUCCGCCAGUACUGGUGGGGCAUCAAGAAGAAGAUGGCAUGGAUGAGUUGGGAUAAGUUGCGACUACCGAAGCAGAUGGGUGGCAUGGGGUUUAAGGAUAUGAGGGCUUUCAAUAAAGCCUUACUGGCCAAACAAGCUUGGCGUUUGCUUGACACGCCAGAUAACCUAUGCGAACGUCUCAUGAAGGCUCGAUACUACCCGUCUGGUCAGCUGUUGGAUACCUCGUUUUCUGGCAACGGUUCUUCAGUUUGGAAGGGGAUCCUUCAUGGUCUUGAACGGCUG
RNAcentral lists this ribosomal RNA (333 nucleotides) under Triticum aestivum (bread wheat). RNAcentral describes it as "partial small subunit ribosomal RNA". The record is from RNAcentral. Lineage: Eukaryota; Viridiplantae; Streptophyta; Magnoliopsida; Poales; Poaceae.